UACAGAGGGUGCAAGCGUUGUUCGGAAUCAUUGGGCGUAAAGCGCGUGUAGGCGGUCUUCUAAGUCUGGUGUGAAAGCCCGGGGCUCAACCCCGGAAGUGCACUGGAUACUGGAAGUCUAGAGGGUGAGAGAGGAGAUUGGAAUUCAUGGUGUAGGGGUGAAAUCCGUAGAUAUCAUGAGGAACAUCUGUGGCGAAGGCGAAUCUCUGGCUCACUUCUGACGCUGAGACGCGAAAGCGUGGGGAGCAAACAGG
RNAcentral lists this ribosomal RNA (253 nucleotides) under uncultured bacterium. Its description in RNAcentral is "partial 16S ribosomal RNA". It matches the Rfam family "Bacterial small subunit ribosomal RNA", at positions 524 to 776 of the family's 1533-position model. The record is from RNAcentral.